RNAcentral lists this ribosomal RNA (253 nucleotides) under uncultured bacterium. RNAcentral's name for it is "partial 16S ribosomal RNA". It matches the Rfam family "Bacterial small subunit ribosomal RNA", at positions 524 to 776 of the family's 1533-position model. The record is from RNAcentral.
UACGGGGGGGGCAAGCGUUGUUCGGAAUUACUGGGCGUAAAGGGCUCGUAGGUGGCCAACUAAGUCAGACGUGAAAUCCCCAGGCUCAACUUGGGAACUGCGUCUGAUACUGGAUGGCUUGAAUUCGAGAGAGGGAUGCAGAAUUCCAGGUGUAGCGGUGAAAUGCGUAGAUAUCUGGAGGAAUACCGGUGGCGAAGGCGGCAUCCUGGACCGAGAUUGACACUGAUGAGCGAAAGCUAGGGGAGCAAACGGG